Molecule: ribosomal RNA, 632 nt
Filed under: uncultured bacterium
Lineage: Bacteria
Description: bacterial SSU rRNA
Rfam family: Bacterial small subunit ribosomal RNA
Source: RNAcentral
CUGGCAUGGGCGAAAGCUGACGUUCGACGCCGCGUGCGGGAUGAAGGCCUUCGGGUUGUAAACCGCUGUCGUUGGGGAGGAAGUGCAUGGGGUCUCCCCUCUGUUUGACCUAUCCAAGGAGGAAGUACGGGCUAAGUUCGUGCCAGCAGCCGCGGUAAGACGAACCGUACGAACGUUAUUCGGAAUUACUGGGCUUAAAGGGUGCGUAGGCGGCGCGGUAAGUUGGGUGUGAAAGCCCUCAGCUCAACUGAGGAACUGCACUCAAAACUACCGUGCUCGAGGGAGACAGAGGUGAGCGGAACUCAAGGUGGAGCGGUGAAAUGCGUUGAUAUCUUGAGGAACACCUGUGGCGAAGGCGGCUCACUGGGUCUUUUCUGACGCUGAGGCACGAAAGCCAAGGUAGCAAACGGGAUUAGAUACCCCGGUAGUCUUGGCUGUAAACGAUGAGCACUUGUUUGAAGGGUCCUCCAUAGCCUUUCAGACGUAGCGAAAGUGUUAAGUGCUCCGCCUGGGGAGUAUGGUCGCAAGGCUGAAACUCAAAGAAAUUGACGGGGGCUCACACAAGCGGUGGAGGAUGUGGCUUAAUGCGAGGCUACGCGAAGAACCUUAUCCUAGUCUUGACAUGUAUGGAU